GUGAUAUUGAUUCGUUUUUCAUGGGAUCCUGUAGUCUAUGGCAGAGUCCCCAUAUCUGUGUUCACAAAUUCACCAACAAAGCUGGUGCUGGUUGCUCCUAUCUUGUUUGUUUCUCGGGCAAAUAAGUUGUGGCUGUCAAAGAUCUCACGGAACUCAUAUUCAAAAAAUAGCGGAAUGUCCAAUAUCUCUUCCUUAAUUUGCCAUUAACACAAUAUGUAUACAAUGCUUAUAAUUAAACAGACAAGUGGCCGCAGAAGGAUUAGAAGCUGUUUAAACCACACCACCGAUUCCAAUAUUCUGAUUCGGCUUCAUAAAGGAUUAAGAUUUAAGAGCGAUCGUAAUGAGAAAUUGCAUUGCCUGUAUUGCUCGCAUUUGAACAAUUAAUCUACAACGAAUAUUAAUGUAGAAGGAGGCGACCAGAUUAGAGAGAGUAGGCGAGAGAGAAUUUGCGCGUGAGAGAGAGUUAGUGUUAUGUGUACGAUAGUUGAAUCCCAACCAGAGGUGUAUACAUUGCGAAAAUCUCUGGUGCAAUAAAACUUCAUAAAAUAUCGACUCAGACAUGCACAUUCUGAGAAAAUAUAUUUUGCAGCAGCUACCCGGACCGCCGUCGUCUUAUUUAGUGCAAUAACCCUUUCUUCACCACGGGAGAUUCGAAGAGAAAGCCUACUGUGUCGACAAGGUAAGGAUAAAAGUUUUUAAAAAUAGGCUACUUAGUCGUCGUUAUUUGGUCAUUUUAGGGUAUGACACUAUGUGUCAAACCGCCUGACAGACAGACAGUUCUCUUUGCAUAUGCAAAUCCAAUUUCUCUGCUAUACGGUUUAGGAUUACGAGGAAAAGAAAUUGAACAGCAACAGACAUGGUAACGGCUGAAAUAGAACGACAAAACAAGAUGAAAGUAUAAUCAGUAAACGCCCCUUAGUAAAGGACAGAGUGUGUGACUUGACAUGCCUUUACAAUUAAGCGAAGUAGCGUAUGCUAAUUAUUCAGGUUUAGUAGUACAUCUUGCCAGAAAAACCGUGCACAAUACCCCAAGCGCUUGUUCACCUAUAUGAAACGAGACGAAACGAGUGUAUAAGCGAUACCUUUGGGCUAACUGAAUUAAACAACUCAUUCAGAAAGACGCCUGGUUCUUCCCCCUGAAGAAGGAUGUCUAUGUGGACUCCGCAGGCUGUUGGUGGUGUGGAGAAGGAGAUUGGGAAGAGAACAGAGGAGACCAGUGGCCCUUAGCAAAUAGCUGCAGCUCAGGUCUUUCUUUCUGCAGAGAGCAGUGAUCACUUCAGGCUGCAGAGAGCAGUCGUCACCACCAGGAGGCGCUAGAGAGCAGUGAUCCCCGCCCUGCAGAGGUGGCGGUCUCCUCCCGUGGCUGCGUUUCUG
Long non-coding RNA from Clupea harengus (Atlantic herring), 1374 nucleotides. NCBI's taxonomy places the organism in Eukaryota, Metazoa, Chordata, Actinopteri, Clupeiformes, Clupeidae. The record is from Ensembl.